RNAcentral lists this ribosomal RNA (406 nucleotides) under uncultured bacterium. RNAcentral's name for it is "partial 16S ribosomal RNA". It matches the Rfam family "Bacterial small subunit ribosomal RNA", at positions 29 to 526 of the family's 1533-position model. The record is from RNAcentral.
AUUGAACGCUGGCGGCAGGCCUAACACAUGCAAGUCGAGCGAGCGGCGGACGGGUGAGUAAUGUCUGGGAAACUGCCUGAUGGAGGGGGAUAACUACUGGAAACGGUAGCUAAUACCGCAUACCAUCAGAUGUGCCCAGAUGGGAUUAGCUAGUAGGUGGGGUAAAGGCCUACCAAGGCGACGAUCUGUAGCGGGUCUGAGAGGAGGAUCCGCCAAACUGGGACUGAGACACGGCCCAGACUCCUACGGGAGGCAGCAGUGGGGAAUAUUGGACAAUUGGGGGAACCCUGAAUCAGCCAAGCCGCGUGUGUGGAGAAGGCCUUAUGGUUGUAAAGCACUUUAAGCGAGGAGGCGUUACCCGCAGAAGAAGCACCGGCUAACUCCGUGCCAGCAGCCGCGGUAAUAC